This 492-nucleotide ribosomal RNA is filed under the name uncultured bacterium. Its description in RNAcentral is "partial 16S ribosomal RNA". It matches the Rfam family "Bacterial small subunit ribosomal RNA", at positions 29 to 507 of the family's 1533-position model. The record is from RNAcentral.
AGUGAACGCUGGCGGUAGACCUAACACAUGCAAGUCGAACGGCAGCACAGUAAGAGCUUGCUCUUACGGGUGGCGAGUGGCGGACGGGUGAGGAAUACAUCGGAAUCUACUUUUUCGUGGGGGAUAACGUAGGGAAACUUACGCUAAUACCGCAUACGACCUACGGGUGAAAGCAGGGGAUCUUCGGACCUUGCGCGAUUGAAUGAGCCGAUGUCGGAUUAGCUAGUUGGCGGGGUAAAGGCCCACCAAGGCGACGAUCCGUAGCUGGUCUGAGAGGAUGAUAAGCCACACUGGAACUGAGACACGGUCCAGACUCCUACGGGAGGCAGCAGUGGGGAAUAUUGGACAAUGGGCGCAAGCCUGAUCCAGCCAUACCGCGUGGGUGAAGAAGGCCUUCGGGUUGUAAAGCCCUUUUGUUGGGAAAGAAAAGCAGCAGGUUAAUACCCCGCUGUUCUGACGGUACCCAAAGAAUAAGCACCGGCUAACUUCGUG